GCCAGGCUGUCUCCACCCGAGACUCAGUGAAAUUGAACUCGCUGUGAAGAUGCAGUGUACCCGCGGCAAGACGGAAAGACCCCGUGAACCUUUACUAUAGCUUGACACUGAACAUUGAGCCUUGAUGUGUAGGAUAGGUGGGAGGCUUUGAAGUGUGGACGCCAGUCUGCAUGGAGCCGACCUUGAAAUACCACCCUUUAAUGUUUGAUGUUCUAACGUGGACCCGUAAUCCGGGUUGCGGACAGUGUCUGGUGGGUAGUUUGACUGGGGCGGUCUCCUCCUAAAGAGUAACGGAGGAGCACGAAGGUUGGCUAAUCCUGGUCGGACAUCAGGAGGUUAGUGCAAUGGCAUAAGCCAGCUUGACUGCGAGCGUGACGGCGCGAGCAGGUGCGAAAGCAGGUCAUAGUGAUCCGGUGGUUCUGAAUGGAAGGGCCAUCGCUCAACGGAUAAAAGGUACUCCGGGGAUAACAGGCUGAUACCGCCCAAGAGUUCAUAUCGACGGCGGUGUUUGGCACCUCGAUGUCGGCUCAUCACAUCCUGGGGCUGAAGUAGGUCCCAAGGGUAUGGCUGUUCGCCAUUUAAAGUGGUACGCGAGCUGGGUUUAGAACGUCGUGAGACAGUUCGGUCCCUAUCUGCCGUGGGCGCUGGAGAAUUGAGGGGGGCUGCUCCUAGUACGAGAGGACCGGAGUGGACGCAUCACUGGUGUUCGGGUUGUCAUGCCAAUGGCACUGCCCGGUAGCUAAAUGCGGAAGAGAUAAGUGCUGAAAGCAUCUAAGCACGAAACUUGCCCCGAGAUGAGUUCUCCCUGACUCCUUGAGAGUCCUGAAGGAACGUUGAAGACGACGACGUUGAUAGGCCGGGUGUGUAAGCGCAGCGAUGCGUUGAGCUAACCGGUACUAAUGAACCGUGAGGCUUAACCUU
RNAcentral lists this ribosomal RNA (921 nucleotides) under Escherichia coli. RNAcentral describes it as "partial 23S ribosomal RNA". It matches the Rfam family "Bacterial large subunit ribosomal RNA", at positions 2010 to 2925 of the family's 2925-position model. The record is from RNAcentral. Lineage: Bacteria; Pseudomonadati; Pseudomonadota; Gammaproteobacteria; Enterobacterales; Enterobacteriaceae.